This is a long non-coding RNA of Canis lupus familiaris (dog), 2475 nucleotides long. RefSeq lists it as uncharacterized. The transcript is spliced from 6 exons. The record is from RefSeq and is a predicted model, not a curated record. NCBI's taxonomy places the organism in Eukaryota, Metazoa, Chordata, Mammalia, Carnivora, Canidae.
CCCCGAGAUCAAGACCUGAGCUGAGAUCAAGAGUUGGACACUUAUCCAACUGAGCCACCCAGGUAUUCAUGGAUACCUACAUGGCUUCCACCUUCUGGAUGUUGCAAAAUAAUGCUUUUAUGAUGUGAGUGUACAAAUAUCUAUUCUGGACCCUGCUCUCAGCACUAGUGAAGCAGAAUUUCUGGAUCAUAUGAAUGCUGAUUAAUGUGGAAAGAAUGCCUAAGAUAGAAAAUUACCCUCUUCCAGGCGUCACUAUUUAACGGACUCAGAUGCCAACACAUCCCUGAGACUCACCAGCACAUUGAUGAUCAUGCUGUUCUCUACAGUGACAGCCUUCACAAGGAGCUUUCUGGACCCAUCCUUAGACUCAUACCGGAGGACAUACAGGUCUUUAUUGCUGUUCCAUUCAGCCGGCAGCAGUUCUGAUUUCUUAUCAUUGGGACCUGGCUGAGAAGACACCAGGAUUGAGAGAAGUGUGAGGACAAUGGGGACCCCCAGACACGGCAGGUGGCCACUGAAACUGCUGCAAAUCCUCUGGAAAGCAGCCUAGCAGUAUGUGGUACCCUCAGCAAGUAGAUUGGAAAGCUCUGGACUCAGGAAAAUAUGGUGGGAAAAGUUGGACCAAAGAUGAAGAACAAGCGCAAGAGACAAAAGUUCGGCACCACAGUCCUUACACACACCAAGGACAACAAGAGGCCAAGAGCAAAAAAUUGUGGGCCUCUCCUCUCUGAUCACCCUUGGUACUCAGGAGUCCAAUGGGAGAAGUGGUCCCAAAUACAAUUCAAGAUGUUGCAACUGGUGUGGUUUCAAAGCUGGCUGGAUAACAAGGAAACUGACAGCCUGAAGCAAAGAAAUGAGACUGACAAAAAACGAAAGUGAUACAAAUCUGCCAAGUGAGAAAGAGAAACAACAAUCCCUCACCUCCAGCUGGGUACAUUUCCCCUAAUAGGUUUAGUAGAUUCAAGGUUUACUCUGGAAGCUAAGAUUUUGAUAACUGUGCCUUGUGUUUGUUCUGUCAGAGGUCUUUGAGUUUGUAUGUAUAUCUUUCACAUACAGCAUAUAACCCACCAGAAGUUUUCCUUGGAAUAUAGAUAAUCCUGCCUGCUCACUCUCCUACAGACUCUGGCUUGUGGGCAAGAGAGAACCCUGGGGUUAGAUGAGGCUAAUGCCUCUCACUGCAGGGGGACUGAUGGUCCCAGCCCACGGGCCUGCUCUGAUAUAAGGCAGAUGGAACCAACAGGGAUCAGCCCUGGUGAUAUCAGGUCAAAUAGGGCAUUUCAACCGUCUUCUAGGCCCCGACAUCAAAUAUCAGGCCCCCCCAGAAAGCUGCACCUGGAAAGUGGCCAAAGCAUAUGGCUGUGUAGUUGAACACCCUCAGAUGAAAAAUUUAAGGGAUCAGAGGGGCUGAGAAUCACCUAAGGUCACAGUAACUCAGAUGCAGAGCUGGGUUUGGCAUUCAGAGCUCCUGGCUGCUUGGUCUACGGCUGGAAAUUUUUCCCAGCCAGGGGACUGGCCUCAGGAAAGUAAAGAUAGUUGUCUACAAAGGCAAAAUCCUGGGGCUAGAAGCAUUCUGCAGUGGCUAUGAGUUUAUCCCAGGGUCUCUCUGGGCUAAAAUGCAACCAAAAAAACACAACCAGAUCAUUCUGGGCAUUUCCCCUCUUUUUUCAUAACCUUUAGAUUCCUACAACAGAAAACAAGAUUCUUUUUUUUUUUUUAAGAAAACAAAUUUCUUGAACUCCUACCUGUAGCCAUCUCUAACCUUUGCCGCCUAACCCACUUGACACCUUUGUAAAGCUCACAUGAGUGGUACUGACUUUGAAAAAGUAAUCCAAAUUCAAAUUUUGGAUUUUUUGUUGAAGCCAGUGGCCUCACCGCUCUUCUAACCAUGUUUUACAUACACAACCGCCCCACACAAGAGGAGAUAAAACCAGAGGAGACCAGCAGACAAUUCAGCUAUUUAACUGUCAAUAUACUGUAUAAUGAAGCACACACUUUUGGAGCCUUCCUCUCUCAUCACCUCUACAAGGGGUGGGGCGCAGGAGGUUGGCUGGAGAGGCAACAUAAGCAUCCUCUGAGCAUAGAAGAAUCUCAGCAGAGUCUGCUGGUCCCAGGCCAGAAAAUUAAACUCUCUCUUAAUUAAUUAAACUAAUAGAUGCCUCUCUAAAGGGCUUCUACUCUCAUGGAAGUGGACUUAGCAAAAGUCACAGGAGGACAAGUGCAACCAGAGCUUGAGCAGCACUGGAGACAGGGCACAGAAGCAAGAUGACACAUCAGACAGCAAUACAAACACCCAACCCCAGAGGGCAUGCCUGAUUUGCCACUGGGCAGUGUCUUUCAAAACCCUCCUCCCUGGUCUCCCUGGCCUCCUGUAAGACAUUUGGGACCAGCAUCUUUUCCCGGCCUGCACGAACUCAACAGGUGGCACCAUGAACAGAGUGGAAUUAGAUGGAUCUUUAGGAAUCAAAGAUCUUUUAU